This 389-nucleotide ribosomal RNA is filed under the name uncultured Pseudomonas sp. RNAcentral describes it as "bacterial SSU rRNA". It matches the Rfam family "Bacterial small subunit ribosomal RNA", at positions 89 to 473 of the family's 1533-position model. Lineage: Bacteria; Pseudomonadati; Pseudomonadota; Gammaproteobacteria; Pseudomonadales; Pseudomonadaceae. The record is from RNAcentral.
UUGAUAGCGGCGGUACGGAUGAGUAAAGCCUAGGAAUCUGCCUGGUAGUGGGGGAUAACGUUCGGAAACGGACGCUAAUACCGCAUACGUCCUACGGGAGAAAGCAGGGGACCUUCGGGCCUUGCGCUAUCAGAUGAGCCUAGGUCGGAUUAGCUAGUUGGUGAGGUAAUGGCUCACCAAGGCGACGAUCCGUAACUGGUCUGAGAGGAUGAUCAGUCACACUGGAACUGUGACACGGUCCAGACUCCUACGGGAGGCAGCAGUGGGGAAUAUUGGACAAUGGGCGAAAGCCUGAUCCAGCCAUGCCGCGUGUGUGAAGAAGGUCUUCGGAUUGUAAAGCACUUUAAGUUGGGAGGAAGGGCAUUAACCUAAUACGUUAGUGUUUUGAC